Molecule: non-coding RNA, 135 nt
Organism: Otolemur garnettii (small-eared galago)
Lineage: Eukaryota; Metazoa; Chordata; Mammalia; Primates; Galagidae
Source: Rfam
AGCUUUGCGCAGUGGCAGUAUCAUAGCCAAUGAGGUUUACCCAAGGCGCGAUUAUUGCUAAUAGGUUAUAAAAAUUAUAGUUUGUGAAAUUAUCAGAAACAGAAUAUAAAAAAACUAUGUUUGAUACUACACAAU